RNAcentral lists this unclassified non-coding RNA (346 nucleotides) under soil metagenome. RNAcentral describes it as "partial contains 5.8S ribosomal RNA, internal transcribed spacer 2, and large subunit ribosomal RNA". The stretch from base 1 to 120 matches the Rfam family "5.8S ribosomal RNA", at positions 35 to 154 of the family's 154-position model. The record is from RNAcentral.
GAUGAAGAACGCAGCAAAAUGCGAUAAGUAAUGUGAAUUGCAGAAUUCAGUGAAUCAUCGAAUCUUUGAACGCGCAUUGCGCCCGCUGGUAUUCCGGCGGGCAUGCCUGUUCGAGCGUCAUUUCAACCCUCAAGCCCCCGGGUUUGGUGUUGGGGAUCGGCUCUGCCUUACGGCGGUGCCGCCCCCGAAAUACAUUGGCGGUCUCGCUGCAGCCUCCAUUGCGUAGUAGCUAACACCUCGCAACUGGAACGCGGCGCGGCCAUGCCGUAAAACCCCAACUUCUGAAUGUUGACCUCGGAUCAGGUAGGAAUACCCGCUGAACUUAAGCAUAUCAAUAAGCGGAGGA